Molecule: ribosomal RNA, 89 nt
Filed under: Clostridium perfringens
Lineage: Bacteria; Bacillati; Bacillota; Clostridia; Eubacteriales; Clostridiaceae
Source: RNAcentral
CCGUUCCCAUUCCGAACACGACGGUUAAGCCUUUAGAAGCCGAUGGUACUGCACGGGAGACUGUGUGGGAGAGUAGGUGGUCGCCAGGU